Piliocolobus tephrosceles (Ugandan red Colobus) is the source of this 420-nucleotide long non-coding RNA. RefSeq lists it as uncharacterized. NCBI's taxonomy places the organism in Eukaryota, Metazoa, Chordata, Mammalia, Primates, Cercopithecidae. The record is from RefSeq and is a predicted model, not a curated record. The transcript has 3 exons.
GCAGGUGCUGUCGGGAACUGUUAGGAACCGGGUUAGGUACAGCCGUAAAUUAGAUAGACGGGUCUAAAUUAGAUAGCCGUAAAUUAGAUAGACGGGACCUGAGACCCGCUUCCCUCACUCUCACGGCCUCUCUGGGAUCCCGGGAGCUCCUUCCAGCUCCUACAUCUGGAUGAUGACAACUGAAGGUGCCAAGACUCAGGGACCCCCACCACCCUUGCUGAGCUGCGGAUAACUCUCCUGGUAGCGGAUAAAGAAAAGGAGGCUAACAGAAGUCAUGUCACCUGCCCGAGUCACACAACUAGUAAGGAGCAGAGCCCAGGCGGGAACCAAAACUGCCCAACUCUAAAACCUGUGCUUGUGACCGCUCAACUCUAUCCUAAUGUCCUCAAGGGAAAGACAAAGGCCCACAAACGCAGAGAA